GACGAACGCUGGCGGCGUGCUUAACACAUGCAAGUCGAACGAUGAAGAAGAGAAACGCGAACUUCGGUUCAACUUUCACUUCGGAUUAGUGGCAGACGGGUGAGUAACGCGUGAGCAACCUACCUCUUACAAAGGGAUAGCCUCGGGAAACCGUGAUUAAUACCAUAUGACACAUUCAUAAGGCAUCUUAAGAAUGUUAAAGCUACGGCGGUAAGAGAUGGGCUCGCGUCCCAUUAGCUAGUUGGUGAGGUAACGGCCCACCAAGGCGACGAUGGGUAACCGGCCUGAGAGCGUGAACGGUCACAUUGGAACUGAGACACGGUCCAAACUCCUACGGGAGGCAGCAGUGGGGAAUAUUGCACAAUGGAGGGAACUCUGAUGCAGCGACGCCGCGUGAGCGAUGAAGGAAUUCGUUUCGUAAAGCUCUGUUCUAUGGGAAGAAAAGGACUGUACCAUAGGAGAAAGCCCCGGCUAAAUACGUG
RNAcentral lists this ribosomal RNA (482 nucleotides) under uncultured bacterium. RNAcentral's name for it is "partial 16S ribosomal RNA". It matches the Rfam family "Bacterial small subunit ribosomal RNA", at positions 28 to 507 of the family's 1533-position model. The record is from RNAcentral.